RNAcentral lists this ribosomal RNA (773 nucleotides) under uncultured bacterium. Its description in RNAcentral is "bacterial SSU rRNA". It matches the Rfam family "Bacterial small subunit ribosomal RNA", at positions 8 to 798 of the family's 1533-position model. The record is from RNAcentral.
AGAGUUUGAUCAUGGCUCAGGACGAACGCUGGCGGCGUGCUUAACACAUGCAAGUCGAACGGAAAGGCCCUUCGGGGUACUCGAGUGGCGAACGGGUGAGUAACACGUGGGUGAUCUGCCCUGCACUUUGGGAUAAGCCUGGGAAACUGGGUCUAAUACCGAAUAGGACCGCAUGCUUCAUGGUGUGUGGUGGAAAGCUUUUGCGGUGUGGGAUGGGCCCGCGGCCUAUCAGCUUGUUGGUGGGGUAAUGGCCUACCAAGGCGACGACGGGUAGCCGGCCUGAGAGGGUGUCCGGCCACACUGGGACUGAGAUACGGCCCAGACUCCUACGGGAGGCAGCAGUGGGGAAUAUUGCACAAUGGGCGCAAGCCUGAUGCAGCGACGCCGCGUGAGGGAUGACGGCCUUCGGGUUGUAAACCUCUUUCAGUAGGGACGAAGCGAAAGUGACGGUACCUACAGAAGAAGGACCGGCCAACUACGUGCCAGCAGCCGCGGUAAUACGUAGGGUCCGAGCGUUGUCCGGAAUUACUGGGCGUAAAGAGCUCGUAGGUGGUUUGUCGCGUUGUUCGUGAAAACUCACAGCUUAACUGUGGGCGUGCGGGCGAUACGGGCAGACUAGAGUACUGCAGGGGAGACUGGAAUUCCUGGUGUAGCGGUGGAAUGCGCAGAUAUCAGGAGGAACACCGGUGGCGAAGGCGGGUCUCUGGGCAGUAACUGACGCUGAGGAGCGAAAGCGUGGGUAGCGAACAGGAUUAGAUACCCCGGUAGUCCAA